UAAGAGGGGGGAGUAACAAUCCGGAAACGGGUGCUAAUACCGCAUAGUUUCUUGAUCGCAUGAUGAGAAGGAAAGACGGCCUUUGUGCUGUCGCUUAUGGAUGGACCCGCGGCGUAUUAGUUAGUUGGUGAGGUAACGGCUCACCAAGACGAUGAUACGUAGCCGACCUGAGAGGGUGAUCGGCCACAUUGGGACUGAGACACGGCCCAAACUCCUACGGGAGGCAGCAGUAGGGAAUCUUCCGCAAUGGACGAAAGUCUGACGGAGCAACGCCGCGUGAGUUGAAGAAGGUUUUCGGAUCGUAAAACUCUGUUGUCAGGGAAGAACAAGUUGGAGAGUAACUGCUCCAGCCUUGACGGUAUCUGACCAGAAAGCCACGGCUAACUACGUGCCAGCCGCCGC
Molecule: ribosomal RNA, 402 nt
Filed under: uncultured bacterium
Lineage: Bacteria
Description: bacterial SSU rRNA
Rfam family: Bacterial small subunit ribosomal RNA
Source: RNAcentral